UCGGCGCGGCUCCCGCGGAGACGGAGCGCUGAUUCAUGGGGCCCCGCGCCGGCUGCCUGGGCGAGGAGAGCGCGGCGCUGCCGCUGCCCCCGCGCGGGGUGUGAAGCCCCAGCCCCUCCUCCGCAGCCCCGGGCUCGCCCGCCCUGCUCUGGAGUGUGGUCCCUGCCGGGAGCCGCCGCGUCUGGCGCACGGAGGGAAGCGUUGAUGCAUCGCUGUGGAAAUUUAUUGUGUGACUUUCUGGGUAUUUGCUGAGUUUCAGACCGAGAUGCAGCUCUUGAAAGCUUUAUGGGCACUAGCAGGAGCAGCGAUCUGCUGUUUUCUUAUAUUUGUCAUCCACUCACAGUUUCUUAAAGAAGGUCAACUGGCUGCAGGUACAUGUGAGAUUGUUACUUUGGACAGAGAUAGCAGUCAGCCCCGAAGGACUAUAGCCCGACAAACAGCUCGCUGUGCAUGUAAAAAAGGACAGAUUGCCGGUACAACAAGAGCAAGGCCAGCCUGUGUUGAUGCACGAAUUAUCAAAACAAAACAGUGGUGUGAAAUGCUUCCAUGUUUAGAAGGAGAAGGCUGUGAUUUGCUAAUCAAUAAAUCAGGCUGGACCUGUACACAACCAGGAGGACGGAUAAAGACAACCACGCCUGUCUGAGGCCAUGUGGUUUGGAGAUCUGAUCACUAGUCCGAAAAGGAAAGGCUGUUUGCAAGAUUUCUGGGGUGUUUUUUCCUGGAAAAGGUCUCCUGACAAAUGCAGCAACACAGAAUCCUCGUAGGAGUGGUUUAGGCUCUGUGUGAGCUACUUAGUCAAGUUUCACUGCUGUUGAUCAUCAUUUGUUAUAUGUCAUCAACUCAACUGUCUGUUUCUCUGUAUCUCAUGAAUGACAGCAUAAUUCCUCUACAUUAAGAGCUAAAGUUUGUUCUACCAUAUUAAGGAUCACGGAACUAAGGAAUCUAGAAAAAGAGAUAUGCUUGGGCAUUAGCAAUACAAAAAAGUUCAUGGUUAACGUUUCAUCUGCGUUAUACACCACUGCUGGACUUGCUGUUACCUACAUGUUUUAAUUCGAAGAGUCUGCUACAAUGAAGAGUAUCAUCCCAGUCAGCCUUAGAGAAGACUGUUUUGCCUAUGGGAGGACACUGAGGUGCAAAAGAGAAACUCUUCUUGUGCCCUAAACUGUCUGAAUUGCUUUUAUUUUCUUAUACUUUCAGUAUAUACAAUAGACCAAAGAGCAAAAUCUAUUUUAAAGUGGACACAAUCUUACUGUUAACAGAGUUAUGUCAUUAAAUUGUAGGAGGUCUCCACAAAGACAUGAUUCCAGAUUUCACAAAGCUGAGAUGUUGUUCAGCAGAAGUCUUUAUGGAAAACUGCAGUAAAAACUAACUCAGAGACCUACUCUUGAAAUGCCACGUUCAAGAGAACAUAAUGGAGCACUGAGUUUGAAAAACUUGGACAAAAAGAACACAAACUGUCUACACGGCACCUUUAUUCCUCUGUACUUAGAUUGACUUUCUCGUACUAAAAUCAUUUUCAGUUUUAACCAGUUAAACAUGCCUCUUCUACAGUUCCAUUUUUGAUAGUUAAAGUUGAAUAAUACAGUAUUUGCAAAGAGCAUGUUUGGUCAUCUGUGGCCUAUGUCUCAUCUGAAACACCAUUUAGCACCAGAAAGCAAAUUAAAGAGAAAACAAAAAGUAACACUUGUUUGAAAGAGAUCAUUAAAUGUAUUUUGAAAAGCCUAAAGUUAUAUAUUUAACAGUUUUUAUAUGUUGUAUAUUUGUAGAAAAUCCUAUUUAACAAUUAACGUGAUAACUCUGACAGUCAUGACAAGUGGUUCAGAGUUAAGUUGUGUUUUAUUACUUCAGUUGUCUCUGAAGUGACUGGUAUCGUUUGCUUUCUUCCAUUGGGACAUUCUGGAUGUAAAGCAUGACCAGAGAAGACUGUGUAGAAAAAGCAAAGAAUAAUGUUGUUUAUAUUACAUAAAUGCAUUCAACCAUU
This is an RNA transcript of Pezoporus occidentalis (night parrot), 1981 nucleotides long. It is a transcript of the gene named TAFA chemokine like family member 5, with no coding region annotated. The record is from RefSeq and is a predicted model, not a curated record. The transcript is spliced from 5 exons. Lineage: Eukaryota; Metazoa; Chordata; Aves; Psittaciformes; Psittacidae.